RNAcentral lists this ribosomal RNA (253 nucleotides) under uncultured bacterium. RNAcentral describes it as "partial 16S ribosomal RNA". It matches the Rfam family "Bacterial small subunit ribosomal RNA", at positions 524 to 776 of the family's 1533-position model. The record is from RNAcentral.
UACGGAGGGUGCAAGCGUUGCUCGGAAUUAUUGGGCGUAAAGGGCAGGUAGGUGGUCUUAUUUGUCUAGGGUGAAAUCCUUGAGCUUAACUCAAGAAGUGCCCUAGAAACGGUGAGACUAGAGUCUUGGAGAGGGUCGUGGAAUUCCCGGUGUAGCGGUGAAAUGCGUAGAGAUCAGGAGGAACACCGAUGGCGAAGGCAGAUCUCUGGGCCGUAACUGACGCUGAGGAGCGAAAGCAUGGGGAGCGAACAGG